GUGAGGAAUAUUGGUCAAUGGGCGAGAGCCUGAACCAGCCAAGUAGCGUGCAGGAUGACUGCCCUAUGGGUUGUAAACUGCUUUUAUGCGGGAAUAAAGUCGGGCACGUGUGCCUGUUUGUAUGUACCGCAUGAAUAAGGACCGGCUAAUUCCGUGCCAGCAGCCGCGGUAAUACGGAAGGUCCGGGCGUUAUCCGGAUUUAUUGGGUUUAAAGGGAGCGCAGGCGGAAGAUUAAGCGUGACGUGAAAUGUCCCGGCUCAACCGUGGAACUGCGUCGCGAACUGGUUUUCUUGAGUGAGUACGACGUUGGCGGAAUUCGUGGUGUAGCGGUGAAAUGCUUAGAUAUCACGAAGAACCCCGAUUGCGAAGGCAGCCGACGAGUCCUUAACUGACGCUAAAGCUCGAAAGUGCGGGUAUCGAACAGG
RNAcentral lists this ribosomal RNA (425 nucleotides) under uncultured rumen bacterium. RNAcentral's name for it is "bacterial SSU rRNA". It matches the Rfam family "Bacterial small subunit ribosomal RNA", at positions 354 to 776 of the family's 1533-position model. The record is from RNAcentral.